UACGUAGGGUGCAAGCGUUGUCCGGAAUUAUUGGGCGUAAAGAGCGUGUAGGCGGCCCGGUAAGUCCGCCGUGAAAGUCCAGGGCUCAACCCUGGGAUGCCGGUGGAAACUGUCGGGCUCGAGUCCGGAAGAGGCGAGUGGAAUUCCUGGUGUAGCGGUGAAAUGCGCAGAUAUCAGGAAGAACACCCGUGGCGAAGGCGGUUCUCUGGGACGGUACUGACGCUGAGACGCGAAAGCGUGGGGAGCGAACAGG
Molecule: ribosomal RNA, 253 nt
Filed under: uncultured bacterium
Lineage: Bacteria
Description: partial 16S ribosomal RNA
Rfam family: Bacterial small subunit ribosomal RNA
Source: RNAcentral